Molecule: RNase P RNA, 337 nt
Filed under: Mollicutes bacterium
Lineage: Bacteria; Bacillati; Mycoplasmatota; Mollicutes
Description: RNase P RNA component class B
Rfam family: Bacterial RNase P class B
About the family: Ribonuclease P (RNase P) is a ubiquitous endoribonuclease, found in archaea, bacteria and eukarya as well as chloroplasts and mitochondria. Its best characterised activity is the generation of mature 5'-ends of tRNAs by cleaving the 5'-leader elements of precursor-tRNAs.
Source: RNAcentral
UAUCUAAGGCAAACGCUGCAAAUCUUUUUUUGUAGAGGAAAGUCCAUGCUCACACAUUCUGCGAUGAAUGUAAAGUUUGUGCUUAGGGAAAAAAUAACCUAAGGUAGCUUAUGCUAACGGCUCCGAACAUUUCUUUUAAAGAAGUAAGUAGGUAUAAAAGUGCCAAAGAGACGAGCCUUUUAGUAAUAAAAGGAGUGGAACGUGGUAAACCCCGCAAGUGAGAAACCCAAAUUUUGGUAGGGGAACUAAUCAAAGGAAAAUGAACCUAAGAUUGGAUGUGUAUACAUAGAUAAAUGUUUGCCGCUUUAUUUAAAAGCACAGAACAUGGCUUAUUAAG